RNAcentral lists this ribosomal RNA (459 nucleotides) under uncultured bacterium. Its description in RNAcentral is "partial 16S ribosomal RNA". It matches the Rfam family "Bacterial small subunit ribosomal RNA", at positions 338 to 794 of the family's 1533-position model. The record is from RNAcentral.
CCUACGGGAGGCAGCAGUGAGGAAUAUUGGUCAAUGGACGCAAGUCUGAACCAGCCAUGCCGCGUGCAGGAAGACGGCUCUAUGAGUUGUAAACUGCUUUUGUACGAGGGUAAACGCAGAUACGCGUAUCUGUCUGAAAGUAUCGUAAGAAUAAGGAGCGGCUAAAUCCGUGCCAGCAGCCGCGGGAAUACGGAGGAUUCAAGCGUUAUCCGGAUUUAGUGGGUUUAAAGGGUGCGUAGGCGGUCGGAUAAGUUAGAGGUGAAAUCCCGAGGCUCAACUUCGGAAUUGCCUCUGAUACUGUUCGGCUAGAGAGUAGUUGCGGUAGGCGGAAUGUAUGGUGUAGCGGUGAAAUGCUUAGAGAUCAUACAGAACAGCGAUUGCGAAGGCAGCUUACCAAGCUACUUCUGACGUUGAGGCACGAAAGCGUGGGGAGCAAACAGGAUUAGAUACCCGAGUAGU